Molecule: transfer RNA, 56 nt
Filed under: Tetranychus evansi (red spider mite)
Lineage: Eukaryota; Metazoa; Arthropoda; Arachnida; Trombidiformes; Tetranychidae
Also listed under: 1 other name
Description: tRNA-Phe
Source: RNAcentral
AUUUUAAUUCAUACUCUUCGUUUAUUUACAUUGAAGAUGUAAAAUUAAUUAGAGUA